GCCUGAUGCAGCGACGCCGCGUGAGGGAUGAAGGCCUUCGGGUUGUAAACCUCUUUCAGCAGGGAAGAAGCGCAAGUGACGGUACCUGCAGAAGAAGCACCGGCUAACUAC
Molecule: ribosomal RNA, 111 nt
Filed under: uncultured Actinomycetes bacterium
Lineage: Bacteria; Bacillati; Actinomycetota; Actinomycetes
Description: uncultured actinobacterium partial 16S ribosomal RNA
Rfam family: Bacterial small subunit ribosomal RNA
Source: RNAcentral